This 866-nucleotide ribosomal RNA is filed under the name uncultured bacterium. Its description in RNAcentral is "bacterial SSU rRNA". It matches the Rfam family "Bacterial small subunit ribosomal RNA", at positions 8 to 916 of the family's 1533-position model. The record is from RNAcentral.
AGAGUUUGAUCCUGGCUCAGAACGAACGCUGGCGGCAUGCCUAACACAUGCAAGUCGAACGCCCUGGGCAACCAGGGAGUGGCGGACGGGUGAGUAACACGUGGGUAAUCCACUCUUUGGUGGGGAAUAACCCUGGGAAACCGGGGCUAAUACCGCAUAAGCUCGAAAGAGGAAAGGUGAAAAUCGCCGAAGAAGGAGCCCGCGGCUGAUUAGCUAGUUGGUGGGGUAAAGGCUCACCAAGGCGAAGAUCGGUAGCCGGCCUGAGAGGGCACACGGCCACACUGGCACUGAAACACGGGCCAGACUCCUACGGGAGGCAGCAGUGGGGAAUCUUGCACAAUGGGGGAAACCCUGAUGCAGCGACGCCGCGUGAGCGAUGAAGCCCUUCGGGGUGUAAAGCUCUUUCGGCAGGAACGAUAAUGACGGUACCUGAAGAAGAAGCUGCGGCUAACUACGUGCCAGCAGCCGCGGUAAUACGUAGGCAGCGAGCGUUGUUCGGAGUUACUGGGCGUAAAGCGUGCGUAGGCGGUUUUGUAAGUUUGGUGUGAAAUCUCCCGGCUCAACUGGGAGGGUGCGCCGAAAACUGCAAGGCUGGAGUGUGGGAGAGGUAGGCGGAAUUCCUGGUGUAGCGGUGAAAUGCGUAGAUAUCAGGAGGAACACCUGUGGUGUAGACGGCUUACUGGACCAUGACUGACGCUGAGGCACGAAAGCGUGGGGAGCAAACAGGAUUAGAUACCCUGGUAGUCCACGCCCUAAACGAUGCAUACUUGGUGUGGGCAGUUCAUUCUGUCUGUGCCGGAGCUAACGCGUUAAGUAUGCCGCCUGGGGAGUACGGUCGCAAGGCUGAAACUUAAAGGAAUUGACGG